GGGUUGUGAGGUUAAGCGACUAAGCGUACACGGUGGAUGCCCUGGCAGUCAGAGGCGAUGAAGGGCGUGCUAAUCUGCGAUAAGCGCCGGUAAGGUGAUAUGAACCGUUAUAACCGGCGAUACCCGAAUGGGGAAACCCAGUGUGAUUCGUCACACUAUCAUUACGUGAAUACAUAGCGUAAUGAAGCGAACCGGGGGAACUGAAACAUCUAAGUACCCCGAGGAAAAGAAAUCAACCGAGAUUCCCCCAGUAGCGGCGAGCGAACGGGGAGGAGCCCAGAGCCUGAAUCAGCAUGUGUGUUAGUGGAAGCGUCUGGAAAGGCGCGCGAUACAGGGUGACAGCCCCGUACACAAAAGCGCAUGUGUUGUGAGCUCGAUGAGUAGGGCGGGACACGUGGUAUCCUGUCUGAAUAUGGGGGGACCAUCCUCCAAGGCUAAAUACUCCUGACUGACCGAUAGUGAACCAGUACCGUGAGGGAAAGGCGAAAAGAACCCCGGCGAGGGGAGUGAAAAAGAACCUGAAACCGUGUACGUACAAGCAGUGGGAGCACCCUUUGGGGUGUGACUGCGUACCUUUUGUAUAAUGGGUCAGCGACUUAUAUUCUGUAGCAAGGUUAACCGAAUAGGGGAGCCGGAGGGAAACCGAGUCUUAAUUGGGCGUUAAGUUGCAGGGUAUAGACCCGAAACCCGGUGAUCUAGCCAUGGGCAGGUUGAAGGUUGGGUAACACUAACUGGAGGACUGAACCGACUAAUGUUGAAAAAUUAGCGGAUGACCUGUGGCUGGGGGUGAAAGGCCAAUCAAACCGGGAGAUAGCUGGUUCUCCCCGAAAGCUAUUUAGGUAGCGCCUCGUGAAUUCAUCUCCGGGGGUAGAGCACUGUUUCGGCUAGGGGGCCAUCCCGGCUUACCAACCCGAUGCAAACUGCGAAUACCGGAGAAUGUUAUCACGGGAGACACACGGCGGGUGCUAACGUCCGUCGUGAAGAGGGAAACAACCCAGACCGCCAGCUAAGGUCCCAAAGUCAUGGUUAAGUGGGAAACGAUGUGGGAAGGCCCAGACAGCCAGGAUGUUGGCUUAGAAGCAGCCAUCAUUUAAAGAAAGCGUAAUAGCUCACUGGUCGAGUCGGCCUGCGCGGAAGAUGUAACGGGGCUAAACUAUGCACCGAAGCUGCGGCAGCGACACUAUGUGU
RNAcentral lists this ribosomal RNA (1188 nucleotides) under Salmonella enterica. RNAcentral describes it as "bacterial LSU rRNA". It matches the Rfam family "Bacterial large subunit ribosomal RNA", at positions 1 to 1221 of the family's 2925-position model. RNAcentral also lists the same sequence under 1 other name. Lineage: Bacteria; Pseudomonadati; Pseudomonadota; Gammaproteobacteria; Enterobacterales; Enterobacteriaceae. The record is from RNAcentral.